UACGGAAGGCAGCAGUAGGGAAUAUUGGGCAAUGGCCGAGAGGCUGACCCAGCCAUGCCGCGUGCAGGAUGAAGGCUUUUCUGAGUCGUAAACUGCUUUUGCCAGGGAAGAAAAAAGGGCGUGCGCGCUCUACUGACGGUACCUGGUGAAUAAGCACCGGCUAACUCCGUGCCAGCAGCCGCGGUAAUACGGAGGGUGCAAGCGUUGUCCGGAUUUAUUGGGUUUAAAGGGUGCGUAGGCGGCCGUUUUAAGUCUGGGGUGAAAGCCCGUUGCUCAACAACGGAACUGCCCUGGAAACUGGAUGGCUUGAGUACAGACGAGGGUGCGGAAUGGAUGCUGUAGCGGUGAAAUGCAUAGAUAGCAUCCAGAACCCCGAUUGCGAAGGCAGCUGCCUAGACUGUAACUGACGCUGAGGCACGAAAGCGUGGGGAGCGAACAGGAUUAGGAAUAACC
This 453-nucleotide ribosomal RNA is filed under the name uncultured bacterium. Its description in RNAcentral is "bacterial SSU rRNA". It matches the Rfam family "Bacterial small subunit ribosomal RNA", at positions 340 to 787 of the family's 1533-position model. The record is from RNAcentral.